This 1228-nucleotide ribosomal RNA is filed under the name Halomonas sp. ASL-10. Its description in RNAcentral is "bacterial SSU rRNA". It matches the Rfam family "Bacterial small subunit ribosomal RNA", at positions 157 to 1381 of the family's 1533-position model. Lineage: Bacteria; Pseudomonadati; Pseudomonadota; Gammaproteobacteria; Oceanospirillales; Halomonadaceae. The record is from RNAcentral.
CCCAGGCUAAUACCGCAUACGUCCUACGGGAGAAAGCAGGGGCUCUUCGGACCUUGCGCUAUCGGAUGAGCCUAUGUCGGAUUAGCUUGUUGGUGAGGUAAUGGCUCACCAAGGCGACGAUCCGUAGCUGGUCUGAGAGGAUGAUCAGCCACAUCGGGACUGAGACACGGCCCGAACUCCUACGGGAGGCAGCAGUGGGGAAUAUUGGACAAUGGGGGCAACCCUGAUCCAGCCAUGCCGCGUGUGUGAAGAAGGCCUUCGGGUUGUAAAGCACUUUCAGUGAGGAAGAAGGCCUUGGGCUUAAUACGCUCGAGGAAGGACAUCACUCACAGAAGAAGCACCGGCUAACUCCGUGCCAGCAGCCGCGGUAAUACGGAGGGUGCGAGCGUUAAUCGGAAUUACUGGGCGUAAAGCGCGCGUAGGUGGCGUGAUAAGCCGGUUGUGAAAGCCCCGGGCUCAACCUGGGAACGGCAUCCGGAACUGUCAUGCUAGAGUGCAGGAGAGGAAGGUAGAAUUCCCGGUGUAGCGGUGAAAUGCGUAGAGAUCGGGAGGAAUACCAGUGGCGAAGGCGGCCUUCUGGACUGACACUGACACUGAGGUGCGAAAGCGUGGGUAGCAAACAGGAUUAGAUACCCUGGUAGUCCACGCCGUAAACGAUGUCGACUAGCCGUUGGGAGCCUCGAGUUCUUAGUGGCGCAGUUAACGCGAUAAGUCGACCGCCUGGGGAGUACGGCCGCAAGGUUAAAACUCAAAUGAAUUGACGGGGGCCCGCACAAGCGGUGGAGCAUGUGGUUUAAUUCGAUGCAACGCGAAGAACCUUACCUACCCUUGACAUCUUCGGAAGCCGAGAGAGAUCUUGGUGUGCCUUCGGGAACCGAAAGACAGGUGCUGCAUGGCUGUCGUCAGCUCGUGUUGUGAAAUGUUGGGUUAAGUCCCGUAACGAGCGCAACCCCUGUCCCUAUUUGCCAGCGAUUCGGUCGGGAACUCUAGGGAGACUGCCGGUGACAAACCGGAGGAAGGUGGGGACGACGUCAAGUCAUCAUGGCCCUUACGGGUAGGGCUACACACGUGCUACAAUGGCAGGUACAAAGGGUUGCAAGACGGCGACGUGGAGCUAAUCCCAUAAAGCCUGCCUCAGUCCGGAUCGGAGUCUGCAACUCGACUCCGUGAAGUCGGAAUCGCUAGUAAUCGUGAAUCAGAAUGUCACGGUGAAUACGUUCCCGGGCCU